This 497-nucleotide ribosomal RNA is filed under the name uncultured bacterium. RNAcentral's name for it is "partial 16S ribosomal RNA". It matches the Rfam family "Bacterial small subunit ribosomal RNA", at positions 28 to 507 of the family's 1533-position model. The record is from RNAcentral.
GAUGAACGCUGGCGGCGUGCCUAAUACAUGCAAGUCGAGCGAACGGACGAGAAGCUUGCUUCUCUGAUGUUAGCGGCGGACGGGUGAGUAACACGUGGAUAACCUACCUAUAAGACUGGGAUAACUUCGGGAAACCGUAGCUAAUACCGGAUAAUAUUUUGAACCGCAUGGUUCAAAAGUGAAAGACGGUCUUGCUGUCACUUAUAGAUGGAUCCGCGCUGCAUUAGCUAGUUGGUAAGGUAACGGCUUACCAAGGCAACGAUGCAUAGCCGACCUGAGAGGGUGAUCGGCCACACUGGAACUGAGACACGGUCCAGACUCCUACGGGAGGCAGCAGUGGGGAAUCUUCCGCAAUGGGCGAAAGCCUGACGGAGCAACGCCGCGUGAGUGAUGAAGGUCUUCGGAUCGUAAAACUCUGUUAUUAGGGAAGAGCAUAUGUGUAAGUAACUGUGCACAUCUUGACGGUACCUAAUCAGAAAGCCACGGCUAACUACGUG